AUUGAACGCUGGCGGCAUGCUUUACACAUGCAAGUCGAACGGUAACAGGCCUUCGGGUGCUGACGAGUGGCGAACGGGUGAGUAAUGCAUCGGAACGUACCCAGAGGUGGGGGAUAACGCAGCGAAAGCUGUGCUAAUACCGCAUGUGAUCUGAGGAUGAAAGCGGGGGACCGAGCAGCAAUGUUUGGCCUCGCGCCUUUGGAGCGGCCGAUGUCGGAUUAGCUAGUUGGUGGGGUAAAGGCCUACCAAGGCGACGAUCCGUAGCUGGUCAGAGAGGACGACCAGCCACACUGGGACUGAGACACGGCCCAGACUCCUACGGGAGGCAGCAGUGGGGAAUUUUGGACAAUGGGCGCAAGCCUGAUCCAGCAAUGCCGCGUGCGGGAAGAAGGCCUUCGGGUUGUAAACCGCUUUUGGCAGGAACGAAACGGUGUCCGCUAAUACCGGGCGCUAAUGACGGUACCUGCAGAAUAAGCACCGGCUAACUACGUG
Molecule: ribosomal RNA, 492 nt
Filed under: uncultured bacterium
Lineage: Bacteria
Description: partial 16S ribosomal RNA
Rfam family: Bacterial small subunit ribosomal RNA
Source: RNAcentral